CUUCGAGCGGGAGGUUGGAUUCUGGCUGUGGCUGUGCUGUGAGCUCCACCGAGCUGAGCCGUGGGAUGGGACACAGGCUCAGCAGUGACUUGGUGCUUGCGGGGGGCGUGGCCUUUGUGCCGCAGUUGAAGCCUGAUGCACGGACCCCUAUGCUGCUUUCUCCUGGCCGUGUCAGCACGAAGCCAGUGGAUGUCACAGCCGUUCCACAGCCAGGAAGCAGCAGAUAUUUCGGAGAACCCUUCCAGACCACAGUCCACUCACUCCUGAAAUGACCCAGGGUUUGAGAGUCGGCUCCGGUGACAACGAGGUGUCUGGGCUGAGGAGCUGAGCCCGGGACAGCAGCAGGAGCCAGCAGCAGGAGCCAGGGCUGCUGUGCGCCCUGCUCAGAUUUUCAGAUUUGGAAGCAAUGGAGAGCAAAUGAUGUUUCUUAUAAGAUGGUCCACCAGAAGCCAGCUUCCCUAGUGAAAUGCUGCCUUGUCAGUGUCCUCUGUUAGUGAUUCCUGCAAACUAGAGGUAAAAAGGCACAAAUGAGACUUAGAAGACCACCCCAGUGAAGCCAGACAAGUUCACCAAAAGGAGAUUUUCAGCAAUGAAGACAGUGUCCUGAGGUCUUAGUCUCAUGUGUGAAGCUCAGGUUUCCUGGAAGAGGCCCUGCUACGGUUUUUGCCCUGCAGGAACCAGCUACAGUGACCACAUACAACUAUAGGAGGAGCACAGCCUGGAAAUGCUGUUUGGACCUGUUACUCUGGCCCAUCCCACAAAUUACCCACUUCCUACUAAUUCCCUCAAUUCCAGAUCCUGCAAACAAACUGACCCUUCAUGAAAAGGUAGGCACGAGAUGACAGCAAAUAGGGCCGAUGACAGAACUUGCACAUCCUGCAGACACAGAAUGUCCUGGACACCAG
Molecule: long non-coding RNA, 905 nt
Filed under: Heterocephalus glaber (naked mole-rat)
Lineage: Eukaryota; Metazoa; Chordata; Mammalia; Rodentia; Bathyergidae
Description: lncRNA (ENSHGLG00100048886.1)
Source: RNAcentral